UCCGAAAGACUGACUUGGCUGAUUCUAAAAUCCAAGCCCCCUCAUCCUCCUCCAAAGAGAUGCACGAGCCCCUGAGGCAAGAUAGGAGAGAGUCUUGCCCCCAGAGGAAUUUCAAUCAUGUCCUUUCAAAAGGUGUAAUCAUUUGACUAAAUCUCCUGCUUUGAAGAGGAAAACACCUUUUGAAUAUGUAAGUUCUGGUGUGUUCCUAAAAACAGCGGAUCCCAUCUGGCUUCUUUGUAGCCAUUCCUGGUGAGCCCAGAUUUGAAAAGAUCAUGUCAGUGCAUGUCAUCGGGAUGCCUUCAUUAUCAAAGGCUGCUUGCUUAUAAAUAAAUAAUUAAUGUAUUUUCCCAUUCCCAUUUAAUUAGGAACGUUAUAAGCUACCCAUGAGCUAAGAAGAGUCUCACGAUUGAAACAACGGGAAGCUGGGAAUUCGCAACAGCCGUGCCUGUGGCCCUUGGAGCUCGCAUGUAAGCCUGGAGAAACUUCUGUCCAGCGCAUGGGACCACACGGAUGUUUGUUGCAGCAUUGUGAUGACAGCAGAGAACUUCCAAGAACCUGGCCAUCCUUCAACAGAGAGAGAGAGUGUGCACAAGCAGCGGGAGCAGCAGGCAGAGGAAGAGGGAGAAGCAGACUCCCCAUUAAGCAGGGAGCCCGACGCGACACGGGGUUCGAUCCCAGGACCCUGAGAUCAUGACCUGAGCCAAGCGUAGAUGCUUCACAGACUGAGCCCCUGGGCACCCCCUUGAGCAUUUUAUUCUAUGCAAGGACUUAAAAUUGUGCCAGGUAUGAGGUAGGAGUACAAAUGUGAACGAAUGAAUGGGUCCACGCACUCACCGGACCUGCAAAGAGUCUGGGACUUUUCCCUAACUUGCUAGCCUGCCGCAUCUCAUGGAUGCCGGCAGAAGAUGUGGGUCUUCUGGAUCGGAGACAGGACAUCAGUGCUCACAGCACAGCCGGCAGCCUGGGCUUCCUCAUUCCAAGGAGGGAAAAACAAGCCAGUCAAGAUGCUUUCGGAUCAGGAAGGUGAGAGCAGUGACUGGUGUUGACGGGGCCGGGGCACUGACGGAGAGAACGGCCCCCCGAGGAGGAGCGGCCGUGUGGGGAGGCACCUGCUGAGGGCCAGACUGGCGGCAGGGACGCGGCUGGGAGGCUGCUGCUAUGGACCAAGUCACGCGAAGGAAGAGGAGAACGGAUGUGAGCACGAUUUAGGAGUUUCGAGCUCAAGCAGGAGCUUAGUUAAGCUUCCAGAAAGCAAGCAGGUGCGCUUCCGGCAGCAGGCAGGAGUGGGAGGCCAGGGCACACCUGGGCAGGUGGCGAGCCCGUCGCGGCACCUAACGCUUCUGUCUGGCUGGUACAAGCCACUGCUCGUGUGCUACUCGGGAAGUCCGCCCCAGAACCCUCACGGGAUGAGGAGACCAAACCCCCGGAGGUUACGCGACUUUUCCAGGGUCACAUGAGGCCGUAAUCGGGGAGUUCCCCUCCGGCCUAGGGCCGCCUCUCCUCACCUGCACACAGUUCCACAAGCUCCAGCCAAGGACUCUGGGCUUGGAAUUACGAGUCCAAACCAUCAUCCAAUAGAACUUUUAAAAAAUGUGUUCAGGGGCGCCUGGAUGGCUCCGCCGGUUAAGCAUCCAACUCGGUUUCGGCUGGCGUCCUGGGAUCAAGGCCCACCCUGGGCUCCACGCUCAGCAGGGAGCCUGCUUGUCCUUCUCCCCUUCCCCUCUGCUCUCCGCCUCCCACAUUCUCUCUCUCUCAAAUAAAUAAAUAAAAUCUUUACUAACUACC
Molecule: long non-coding RNA, 1785 nt
Organism: Mustela lutreola (European mink)
Lineage: Eukaryota; Metazoa; Chordata; Mammalia; Carnivora; Mustelidae
Exons: 3
Source: RefSeq, a predicted model, not a curated record